UGCCCGGGUCGCAUAAUGGUAUUGCACAAGACUGGAAAUCUUGGCCUUUUAGGCUCCCAGGUUCGAUUCCUGGUCCGGGCGU
RNAcentral lists this transfer RNA (82 nucleotides) under subsurface metagenome. Its description in RNAcentral is "tRNA-Ser". It matches the Rfam family "tRNA". From Rfam's summary of the family: Transfer RNA (tRNA) molecules are approximately 80 nucleotides in length. Their secondary structure includes four short double-helical elements and three loops (D, anti-codon, and T loops). The record is from RNAcentral.